GAUGAACGCUGGCGGCGUGCCUAAUACAUGCAAGUCGAGCGAAUGGAUUAAAAGCUUGCUCUUAUGAAGUUAGCGGCGGACGGGUGAGUAACACGUGGGUAACCUGCCCAUAAGACUGGGAUAACUCCGGGAAACCGGGGCUAAUACCGGAUAAUAUUUUGAACUGCAUGGUUCAAAGUUGAAAGGCGGCUUCGGCUGUCACUUAUGGAUGGACCCGCGUCGCAUUAGCUAGUUGGUGAGGUAACGGCUCACCAAGGCAACGAUGCGUAGCCGACCUGAGAGGGUGAUCGGCCACACUGGGACUGAGACACGGCCCAGACUCCUACGGGAGGCAGCAGUAGGGAAUCUUCCGCAAUGGACGAAAGUCUGACGGAGCAACGCCGCGUGAGUGAUGAAGGCUUUCGGGUCGUAAAACUCUGUUGUUAGGGAAGAACAAGUGCUAGUUGAAUAAGCUGGCACCUUGACGGUACCUAACCAGAAAGCCACGGCUAACUACGUGCCAGCAGCCGCCGUAA
RNAcentral lists this ribosomal RNA (515 nucleotides) under uncultured bacterium. RNAcentral describes it as "partial 16S ribosomal RNA". It matches the Rfam family "Bacterial small subunit ribosomal RNA", at positions 28 to 523 of the family's 1533-position model. The record is from RNAcentral.